AUUUUGAAAAUUCCAGUUCAUGAAAAUAGCAGUCUGUUUUCUAAGCCAGCAUGAAGAAUGUGAGUGUAUCAUAUCCUAUAAGGUUGGGUAAAUAUCAAGAAAUAUGAUUAUCAUUAUUUUUACUAUGGUCUUCAUGAGUAGCAUUAUUUAGAUGUAUAUUUGAGAUUCAUGUGCCAUUGGAUAAUUUCUGUUUGAUUUAUGGCAGCAUGUUUUCUAUAAUUUGCCACCCACAAAAGCAAUGACUUCCUAAAUAACCUGCACGAUGCAAGGAACCAAAUGUAGUGCCUGGAAAAGUGAAGCUUAUGAGGGAGUAUACUUGCACGUAGGAGAUUCUGCUUAAAGAAAUAGCUGAUCCUCACACUGUCUUCCACAAUGGUUGAACUAAUUUACACUCCCACCAACAGUGUAAAAGUGUUCCUUUUUCUCCACAUCCUCUCCAGCAUCUGUUGUCUCCAGAUUUUUUAAUGAUCGCCAUUCUAACUGGCGUGAGAUGGUAUCUCAAUGUGGUUUUGAUUUGCAUCUCUCUGAUGACCAGUGACGAUGAGCAUUUUUUCAUAUGAUUGUUGGCCUCAUAUAUGUGGAAUAUUAUGCAGCAAUCAGAAAUGAUGAGUUCGUGUCGUUUGUAGUGACAUGGAUGAAUCUGGAAAACAUCAUCCUCAGCAAACUGACACAAGAACAGAAAAUGAAACACCGCAUAUUCUCACUCAUAGAACCUAGGAAUAGUGAUAUUUGCCUUGACGAUCUUAAGAAAUUAUUUGAGGGGAGGACUCAAGAUGGUGCUGUGAGAACAACCCAGGAUUGGAGCUCUUCUCGUUGAAUCUGCAAACGGUGAGUCAAAGCGGCAUUUCCAGACUGAUCUUUGUUGCCCACAGAACGGGGAAACUCCCAAGUAUCAAAAAGACACGGGACGCCAGGCAGUAGGUCUGCCUGGCGAAGCCGGCAGCCGGGGCGGCGGCGGCCGGCCCUACCCAGCAAUCCCCACAGGGCGCGCUUGUCCGGGUGCCCUGUUGAACCGGCAACCUGAGACUUGAGAGGGCUGGACUUGAGACUGAACGAGACUUGGACAAUAGGCCAGCCCAGGGGAUUGCAGGGACAGAUCGUUUGGGAUACCCAGUGGGACGAACAAAACCGCGAUUUCAAACUAUCCCGAGCAGACGGUCCGAGAUGCUCUGUGAAGGAGGGGCGUCCACCACUACCGAGGCAACCCGCCCCAACUGAGAUACACGCCCACUGCUGACGCAGCCAGCCGUUGCCGAGGCAACCCGCCACAACUGAGAUACACGCCCACUGCUGACGCAGCCAGCCGUUGCCGAGGCAACCCGUCCCUACUGAGAUACACGCCCACUGCUGACGCAGCCUGCCGUUGCUGAGGCAACACGCUACAACGAAGAGACUCCGCCGCAGGGCGUGGCGGAGACCACAGCAGAGCCGGCAGGAACAGCGCGAAUCACACAACAGCAGGGCGGAGCCUCAGCAGCCAAACAGUGGCUAGUCUGCCUUCUAGCUGGGCAGGACACCUGAUCGGACAUCCAAAAAUAAAGCCCAAACCCCUCAACACAGAGCAUUUGAGAAAAAAAAAAAAAAAAAAAAGGGUUUUUUAAUGAGCUGUGUUGCAGCAGAAUCAAACAUAGCAGCCUAACAGCCCUGAAUGAACAACAGAGUGCACAGCUCAGCAAUUAAACCCCUAUAAAGUACAAACUGUCUCCUCAAGCAGCUCCCUGACCCCUCUAUAUCCAAAAGACUGACAUUAGGCAGGCAUCAUCCUGGGACAAAGAGAGCAGAAAAAGAAACUGGUAGCAUCCCUCGCUGUGCCACGGCUACUAGAGGUGCACCCCAGACAAGCAGGGUCUGGAGCGGACCUCAACAGUCAUACAGCGAAGGGGCUAGACUGGUAGAAGGAAAACCAAGCAACAGAAAUACUUCAUCAUCAACAUUCUGGGUGUCCACUCAGAGACCCAAACGAAAAAUCAGCAACUACGCAGACGAC
Callithrix jacchus (white-tufted-ear marmoset) is the source of this 1987-nucleotide long non-coding RNA. Lineage: Eukaryota; Metazoa; Chordata; Mammalia; Primates; Cebidae. The record is from Ensembl.